Molecule: transfer-messenger RNA, 59 nt
Filed under: Pseudomonas aeruginosa
Lineage: Bacteria; Pseudomonadati; Pseudomonadota; Gammaproteobacteria; Pseudomonadales; Pseudomonadaceae
Also listed under: 2 other names
Description: partial transfer-messenger RNA
Rfam family: transfer-messenger RNA
About the family: Bacterial tmRNA, also known as 10Sa RNA or SsrA, is named for its dual tRNA and mRNA-like properties. Its role is to liberate the mRNA from a stalled ribosome.
Source: RNAcentral
AUGUAGUGCCGAGGAUGUAGGAAUUUCGGACGCGGGUUCAACUCCCGCCAGCUCCACCA